Molecule: long non-coding RNA, 1435 nt
Filed under: Gouania willdenowi (blunt-snouted clingfish)
Lineage: Eukaryota; Metazoa; Chordata; Actinopteri; Blenniiformes; Gobiesocidae
Description: lncRNA (ENSGWIG00000022046.1)
Source: RNAcentral
UAUAUGUCAGUGGGAACACUCAUCAUCUUAAUAAAAUUAUAGUAUAUAGUAGACAGUAUAUACUUAUUGAGUAGCAGUAGUAGCAGUAAAGCAGACUGGGGCCUUUUCGUCCAACAUCAGUGUCUGACCUCACUAAUGCACAUUUGAAAGCUAUUAGCACAAUAUAAACCUCGAACAGUAGGAUUUACCUUUGCUCCUCAAACCAGGCCAAUAAAUCAUUAACAAGGCCAUGCAAAACAUAUUUUAGGGGGAAACAUGUUUGAUUAAUUUUAUUGUUUUGCAUGAUUACAGCUUAUUUUAUUUAUUUAUUUAUUUAUUUAUGGCUUAAUUAUUAUUCCAAUCUAAUUAUAUCUGGUGUUAUGGGUGGUACAGUUAGCUAAACGAAAUGUCACUGUAACUGCGUCCUAUCAAACAAAGCUUCUUCUUCUUCUUUAUCAAACACUACAGGUUAACCCGGUUAACGUUAACCAGGUUAACUCACUAACUAAUAAAACUCGCCACCUCAGGCACUCACCGUCACCGGAUAAACAGUUAAAAAACAGUUUUGUCCGCUUCUGUCAGCCUCAGCCCUCGGCUAACAGUUAGCACAACUACAGCUAGCCGGUGUUGUGAUUAAAGUGGUCACCGUUUUAACUGGAGGUCUACAGCUGCAGCAGCUAGCAACACUUACCGAAUUCGCUCACCAAUUAAGACUGUCGCCACUUAAUGCGUAACACCAGGACGCACCGGGAGAAGUUGAAGUCUACAGCGGCUCUCGGUUUGUCACUGAGCGGUAAACGGAGCAGAUGUUCUCACCUUGUGACGUCUCCACCUGCACCACUUCUUCUGCUACAUCUUCUGUUCCCUCAGCGAUGGUUUCUUCUCCCAAAGCAGCAGGGGAUGCCCCCACCACCCCCACCACCACCUCCUCGUCUCCAGCUGUAGGAUGUUUGCUGCAGUGACAGGAGUCUUCCCUUGAUGGUGAUGAAGACUGCAGUUCCUCAUCUGGACCAUGACUCAUGUCUGCCAGCAGCAGAGUGAGGGCCGGACCUUCAGUGGUGUCCUCUGUCAGAGCUUGAGCUGAUGUUUGCUCCACAGCUUCUUCUGUGAUGGGGACCUCCUCAGGUGCAGCGUCAGCUACCAAAGCCUGAUGCUCUUCAGUCUGGGUCUCCUCCAGAGCUGCAGGAGCAUCUAAUGGAGCUUGGACUUCUUCUGUGGCAUCUUCUUCAGCCUCAGGAAUCUCCAACUCCUUUCCUUCAUCUUCAUUCUUCAGACUCAUCUUGCCCACAGAAGCUGCUGUGAGAAGAUCAGGGAUGGACAGGUGACGAUAAGUGACUCCCUAUCCGCUCUUAGUGAGUCUUAAACUACUUUUAUUGUGAGUCCUCAUCUGUUUUGGAAUGAAUACACCAAUUUUUUGAGUGAGUCUGCUUCUCACUUUAGUGAGUCUUCAACUCUU